This 988-nucleotide long non-coding RNA is filed under the name Marmota monax (woodchuck). The record is from RNAcentral. Lineage: Eukaryota; Metazoa; Chordata; Mammalia; Rodentia; Sciuridae.
CUUGUGGUAAUUUUUAAAUGAUUCAUGAGCAGUAAGCUUUUUAAUUCUAAUAUAUCCAAAUAUAUCUACAUUUCCCUCUCCUUUACCAAUCAGUUGGUUGGGUAUAUUCAGGUUGAAAAUCAUUUCCCUCCCAAAACUUUAAAGCAGUAUUUUGUUGGGUUGUAGCAUUCAGGAUUGCUGAGAAGACUCAUAACAGUCUGAUUCUCAUUCCAAUAUAAGUAAUCUGUUUUAUUUUGCUUCUCCUGACUCUUUUAAGAUAUGCUUUUUAUAUAUGGAGUUCUGAAAUUUAACCAGAAUAUAUUUAAGCAUGGUGUUUUCGUCAGCUUUUUUUGCUGCUGUGACUAAAAGAAUUUAACCAGAACAAUUUUAGAAGAGGAAAAGUUUAUUUGAGGGCUCACCGUUUAAGAGGUCUUAGUCCAUAGAAGGCCAGCUCUGUUUCUCAUGGCUCCAGGUGAGGCAGGACAUCAUGGUGGAAGACUGUAGCUGGGGAAGCAGCUCCUGCGGGAUCAGGAAGCAGAGAGAGAUUCCACUUGUCAGAUUCAAAUAUAAACCCUGAAGCCACGCCCCCAAUGCCACACCUCCUCCAGAUACACCCCACCUUCCUUCUACCAGGUUAUUAAUUCACUGAUUGGGUUAAGACUCUCACAGCCCAAUCAUUGCUUGCAUUGUCUCACAAGUGAGUUUUUUUGGGGACCCCUCACAUCCAAACUGUAAUACAUGGGUAUUGAGUGUUUGUCAGUUCUCUGUUUAAUUUUAUAUGGCUUACAUGUGUCCUUUCAACCUAAAGAUGUUUGCUUCUCCUCAACUCAGGGAGAUUAUGUUCUGAAACUUCAAUUCCCUGGAACUAUCCUCCAUACCUCAACUUUUCUCUCAUAUUUCCUACCUUUUUAUUUUAUUUCUUUACAUGCUAGGAAAUUUUACUUUCCCAAACAUCAACUUGGUCUUUAGAAAAUACUUUAUUAUUUUUUUAUCUCCAAUAAAUUCUUAC